GGCCACCUCCUCCUUGCUGAGCAGGAGGCAGUUCCAGGGGCUCCAGUCCUUGUGGCGUUCCCACCGGACCAGCGCCAAGCUGUAGGGGUCGCUGCAGGCGCUGAGGGCCGAGCGGGCGCCCCAGAUCACCUCCACCAGGUACUGCAGGUCCUCCACCUGACGCACACGGACGCCUUUUAGGCUGCGGGCGAGAGCGAGUGGGAGAGCGGGGAGGAGGCUGACCUGCAGGAGGAAGGGGAUGGUGUUGUCCUUGUUGAGGACCAGCUCGUUGUCCCGCAGUCUCUUCAGCAUGUUCUUGUAGCAGGAGAAGUCGUCACGGCUCCCGGCGAUGUUUCUCAGUCUGGUGCAGUCCAGACAGCGCCGGCCCAGGUGGGCUUUGGCGCACGAGCGGAACUGGGAGGAGCACAGGUAGCGCUGGCAGCCGUGGCAGAGGAAGACGUCGUUUUUCAGCAUGGAGGGGCUCUUAGGCACCUGAGGAAGGUGCUUGGCCACUUCAGGGUUGAAUCCCGGGGUCCUGAUGAACUGGAGGAAGAGUGUGGAAAGUCUCUUCCUCAGACCCUCCAGGUUGGUCGACUUGACCUGACGUCUCAUCAGGUCUUCCUCCCGGUGCAGCAAUUCCACGAUGUCUCGUGUCAGCUGACACGGGUGCUCCUGCCCAAUGGACCAUUAAGUCUGCUUGAGGCAUAGCAGGAUGUCCAGCCUCUGCUCCUGGCUGAUGGGCGACAUGGCCACACAGUCGUAAAGAUCUCCCAGCUCUCGGGCCCUGAUGGUGUCAGGAGUGUCCAUCUCGAUCAGGCGGCCGUCUGCCGCUCGCCACUGAUGAGGCGUGGACGACUGACGCACGCCACGACACGCACGUCCUUACCAGUCUGCAGGUUGGCAUCGGUGACGUGGGGCGUGUCUUCCUGCUCUGCCACGGUGACGGCGCCGGGAGGCAAGUCGCUGACCUCUGCUACGCUCUUCUCGUCCUCCGCCAUUGUGCCUGAAACACACAUGCAAUGACUUCAUGUUCAUUCAAGACACAACAUCCUCCCGUCGUAAAAUGUCAGAAUAGAAUGAAUGGAUGUGUGAAUAAAUGAAUGUGUGAAUGAAUGAACGGAUGUGUGAAUAAAUGAGUGAAUGGAUGUGAAUGAAUAUGUGAAUGUAUGAAUGAAUGGACGUGUGAAUGAAUGAAUGUGUGAAUAAAUGAAUAUGUGAAUGAAUGUGUGAAUAAAUGAAUGAAUGGAUGUGUGAAUAAAUAAAUGAAUGGAUGUGUGAAUGAAUGAAUAUAAUGUGUGAAUAAAUGAAUGAAAGGACGUGUGAAUGAAUGAAUGGAUGUGUAAAUGAAUGAAUGGAUGUGUGAAUGAAUGUAUGAAAUUAAUGUGUGAAUGAAUGGACGUGUGAAUGAAUGAAUGAAUGGAUGUGUGAAUUAAUAUCUGAAUGAAUGUAUGGAAUGAAUGGACGUGUGACUGAAUGGAUAUGUGAAUAAAUGACUGAUGUGUGAAUAUAUGAAAUUAAUAUGUGAAUGAAUGAAUGGAUACGUGAAUAAAUGACUGAUGUGUGAAUAUAUGAAAUUAAUGUGUGAAUAAAUGAAUGGACGUAUGAAUGAAUGAGUGGAUGUGUGAAUGAAUGGAUGGAUUUAUGAAUGAAUAUGCGAAUGAAUGAAUGUAUGAAAUUAAUGUAUGAAUGAAUGGACGUGUGAAGGAAUGGAUGUGUGAAUAAAUGAAUGAAUGGAUGUGUGAAUUAAUGUGCCAAAUUAAUGAAUGGAUGUAUGAAUGAAUAUGUGAAUGAAUGAAUGUAUGAAAUUAAUGUAUGAAUGAAUGGAUGUGUGAAUAAAUGAAUGAAUGGAUGUAUGAAUGAAAGUGUGAAUGAAUAGACGUGUGAAUGUGCGAAUGAAUGAAUGGAUGUGUGAAUGAAUAUGCGAAUGAAUUAAUGUAUGAAAUGAAUGUUUGAAUAAAUGAGUGGACGUGUGAAUGAAUAUGUGAAUGAAUUAAUGUAUGAAAUGAAUAUGUGAAUGAAGGAAUGCAUGAAGGAAUGAGCCCUAAAACAAUUAAAAAGGCUUUUUGCAAAUGUUGCACUAUGCAGUAGAUUGUACGAUGCCCAUUGGGGCGGUACAGCUCGGUUGGUAGAGUGGCCGUGCCAGCAACUUGAGGGUUCCAGGUUUGAUUCCCGCUUCUGCCAUCCUAGUCCCUGCCGUUGUGUCCUUGGGCAAGACACUUUACCCACCUGCUCCCAAUGCCACCCACACUGGUUUAAAUGUAACUUAGA
Long non-coding RNA from Nerophis ophidion (straightnose pipefish), 2247 nucleotides. RefSeq lists it as uncharacterized. NCBI's taxonomy places the organism in Eukaryota, Metazoa, Chordata, Actinopteri, Syngnathiformes, Syngnathidae. The record is from RefSeq and is a predicted model, not a curated record. The transcript has 4 exons.